This 981-nucleotide ribosomal RNA is filed under the name gut metagenome. Its description in RNAcentral is "bacterial SSU rRNA". It matches the Rfam family "Bacterial small subunit ribosomal RNA", at positions 8 to 986 of the family's 1533-position model. The record is from RNAcentral.
AGAGUUUGAUCCUGGCUCAGGAUGAACGCUAGCUACAGGCUUAACACAUGCAAGUCGAGGGGCAGCAUGACCUAGCAAUAGGUUGAUGGCGACCGGCGCACGGGUGAGUAACACGUAUCCAACCUACCGGUUAUUCCGGGAUAGCCUUUCGAAAGAAAGAUUAAUACCGGAUAGUAUAACGAGAAGGCAUCUUCUUGUUAUUAAAGAAUUUCGAUAACCGAUGGGGAUGCGUUCCAUUAGUUUGUUGGCGGGGUAACGGCCCACCAAGACAUCGAUGGAUAGGGGUUCUGAGAGGAAGGUCCCCCACAUUGGAACUGAGACACGGUCCAAACUCCUACGGGAGGCAGCAGUGAGGAAUAUUGGUCAAUGGACGAGAGUCUGAACCAGCCAAGUAGCGUGAAGGAUGACUGCCCUAUGGGUUGUAAACUUCUUUUAUAUGGGAAUAAAGUGAGCCACGUGUGGCUUUUUGUAUGUACCAUACGAAUAAGGAUCGGCUAACUCCGUGCCAGCAGCCGCGGUAAUACGGAGGAUCCGAGCGUUAUCCGGAUUUAUUGGGUUUAAAGGGAGCGUAGGCGGACUAUUAAGUCAGCUGUGAAAGUUUGCGGCUCAACCGUAAAAUUGCAGUUGAUACUGGUCGUCUUGAGUGCAGUAGAGGUAGGCGGAAUUCGUGGUGUAGCGGUGAAAUGCUUAGAUAUCACGAAGAACUCCGAUUGCGAAGGCAGCUUACUGGACUGUAACUGACGCUGAUGCUCGAAAGUGUGGGUAUCAAACAGGAUUAGAUACCCUGGUAGUCCACACAGUAAACGAUGAAUACUCGCUGUUUGCGAUAUACGGCAAGCGGCCAAGCGAAAGCAUUAAGUAUUCCACCUGGGGAGUACGCCGGCAACGGUGAAACUCAAAGGAAUUGACGGGGGCCCGCACAAGCGGAGGAACAUGUGGUUUAAUUCGAUGAUACGCGAGGAACCUUACCCGGGCUUAAAU